CCUACGGGCGGCAGCAGUGGGGAAUAUUGCACAAUGGGGGAAACCCUGAUGCAGCGACGCCGCGUGAGUGAAGAAGUAAUUCGUUAUGUAAAGCUCUAUUAGCAGGGAAGAAAAUGACGGUACCUGAGUAAGAAGCCCCGGCCAACUACGUGCCAGCAGCCGCGGUAAUACGCAGGGGGCAAGCGUUAUCCGGAUUUACUGGGUGUAAAGGGAGCGUAGACGGCAGUGCAAGUCUGGAGUGAAAGGCGGGGGCUCAACCCCCGGACUGCACUGGAAACUGUACGGCUGGAGUGCAGGAGAGGUAGGUGGAAUUCCUGGUGUAGCGGUGAAAUGCGUAGAUAUUAGGAGGAACACCAGUGGCGAAGGCAGCUUACUAGACUGUAACUGACAUUGAGGCUCGAAAGCGUGGGGAGCAAACAGGAUUAGAUACCCGUGUAGUC
RNAcentral lists this ribosomal RNA (440 nucleotides) under uncultured bacterium. RNAcentral describes it as "partial 16S ribosomal RNA". It matches the Rfam family "Bacterial small subunit ribosomal RNA", at positions 338 to 795 of the family's 1533-position model. The record is from RNAcentral.